Molecule: small RNA, 83 nt
Filed under: Halpernia frigidisoli
Lineage: Bacteria; Pseudomonadati; Bacteroidota; Flavobacteriia; Flavobacteriales; Weeksellaceae
Description: Chryseobacterium frigidisoli Flavo-1 RNA
Source: RNAcentral
CUUUUGCAGCCCGACUUGAGCGGAAAUCCUUUUGUGAGGAGGAACGACGAACAAAAGAUUGGGAGCGGAAGGCGGAAAUGUCU